This 301-nucleotide ribosomal RNA is filed under the name uncultured bacterium. RNAcentral's name for it is "partial 16S ribosomal RNA". It matches the Rfam family "Bacterial small subunit ribosomal RNA", at positions 509 to 807 of the family's 1533-position model. The record is from RNAcentral.
CAGCAGCCGCGGUAAUACGUAGGUGGCAAGCGUUGUCCGGAAUUAUUGGGCGUAAAGGGCGCGUAGGCGGACAGUUCAGUCGGGGGUGAAAGCCCGGGGCUCAACCUCGGAAUUGCCUUCGAUACGGGCUGUCUUGAGUAUGAGAGAGGUGUGUGGAACUCCGAGUGUAGAGGUGAAAUUCGUAGAUAUUCGGAAGAACACCAGUGGCGAAGGCGACACACUGGCUCAUUACUGACGCUGAGGCGCGAAAGCGUGGGGAGCAAACAGGAUUAGAUACCCCGGUAGUCCCUGUCUCUUAUAC